UGUGUUGCUUGCAAGGGCGUAUGGUGGAUGCCUUGGCAGACAGGACCGAUGAAGGACGUUUGAGGCUGCGAUAUGCCUCGGGGAGCCGCCAACAGGGCUUUGAUCCGAGGAUUUCCGAAUGGGGGAACCCACCGACCGUCAUGGGUCGGUACCGGCUUCGGCCGGGGGGUACGCAGGGAAGUGAAACAUCUCAGUACCUGCAGGAAAGGAUAUUCCGUGAGUAGUGGCGAGCGAAAGCGGAUGAUGGCCAAACCUUGCGCGUGUGAUACCCGUCGGGGGUUGCGCGCGGGGUGUUGCGGGAUCGCGUGCGCCGGCUCCGACGGGCCGGCCGGCAGUUGCAGAAAACCAUGUGUCAGGGGAACCGGGUUGAAUACCGGGCCGCAGAGGGUGAGGGCCCCGUACCUGAACGCGCAUGGUCUGCCGAUCGCGUCUCCCAAGUAGCACGGGUCCCGUGGAACCCCGUGCGAAUCCGCCCAGACCGUUGGGUAAGCCUGAAUAUUCCUGUCUGACCGAUAGCGAACGAGUACCGUGAGGGAAAGGUGAAAAGUACCCCGGGAGGGGAGUGAAACAGUCUCUGAAACCGUGCGCCUACAAUCCGUCGGAGCCCUUUUGUGGGGUGACGGCGUGCCUAUCGAAAAAUGAGUCUGCGAGUCAGUGGCAUGUGGCGAGCAUAACCCGUGUGGGGUAUGCGUAGCGAAGGCGAGUCUUAAAAGGCGUUUGAGUCGCGUGUCCUGGACCCGAAGCGGGAUGAUCUAGCCCUGAGCAGGUUGAAGCGCGGGUAAGACCGCGUGGAGGACCGAACCCACCUGGGUUGAAAACCGGGGGGAUGACUUGGGGCUAGGGGUGAAAGGCCAAUCAAAUUCCGUGAUAGCUGGUUCUCUCCGAAAUGCAUUUGGGUGCAGCGUCGGGUCAUUACGUCCCGGGGGUAGAGCUACUGGAUGCUUGCGGGCCCGUAUCGGGUACCAACAGCAACCAAACUCCGAAUACCGGUGACGCGUAUCCCGGCAGUGAGUCGGCGGGGGAUAAGCUUCGUCGUCGAAAGGGAAACAGCCCAGACCGUCGUCUAAGGUCCCGAAGCGUGUGCUAAGUGGGAAAGGAUGUGGAGUCGCAUAGACAGCCAGGAGGUUGGCUCAGAAGCAGCCACCCUUGAAAGAGUGCGUAACAGCUCACUGGUCUAGUGGUUCCGCGCCGACAAUGUAGCGGGGCUCAAGCACACCACCGAAGACGCGGCAGUAUUUUGUACUGGGUAGGAGAGCGUCCCAUGAGGGGCGAAGCGGCCGUGUGAACGCGCCGUGGACUUCAUGGGAGUGAGAAUGCAGACAUGAGUAGCGAGAGACGGGUGAAGAUCCCGUCCGCUGGAUGACCAAGGGUUCCAGGGCCACGUUCAUCGUCCCUGGGUGAGUCGGGUCCUAAGGCGAGGCCGACAGGCGUAGUCGAAUGGAUGAACGGGUCGAUAUUCCCGUACCGGCUUUCAGCCGCCAAAACCGAGGCUUGGAGUACUAACCUCCGGGUCCGGGCUUACUGCUCCUUCGGGGGCGGGAUGCCCUGGCCUGUUGGGACCGAUCCUUGUAGUAGGUCAGCGCAGGAGUGACGCAGAAGGGUAGCCGGCCGCGGAGGUGGUCUUCCGUGGUCAAGCACGCAGGGCGUGGGACAGGCAAAUCCGUCCCGCAUGGGUCCGAGGUGCGAUGAUGGGGGCCUUAUGGCCCGAUAUCCGGUGAUCCCGGCUGCCGAGAAAAGCUUCGGCGUCAGGCUCGAAGCCGCCCGUACCCCAAACCGACACUGGUGGUCAGGUAGAGAAUACCAAAGCGAUCGAGCGAAUCCUGGUCAAGGAACUCGGCAAAUCACUCCCGUUCCUUCGGUUUAAGGGAGACCCCCGAUGGUGAACACACUUGCUGUGGGAGCUUUUGGGGGUGGCACAGACCAGGGGGUAGCGACUGUUUACCAAAAACACAGGUGCAUGCGAAGGCGCAAGCCGCUGUAUAUGCACUGACGCCUGCCCGGUGCCGGAAGGUUAAGAGGAUCCGUCAGCC
RNAcentral lists this ribosomal RNA (2030 nucleotides) under Bifidobacterium sp. Its description in RNAcentral is "partial 23S ribosomal RNA". It matches the Rfam family "Bacterial large subunit ribosomal RNA", at positions 1 to 1895 of the family's 2925-position model. The record is from RNAcentral. Lineage: Bacteria; Bacillati; Actinomycetota; Actinomycetes; Bifidobacteriales; Bifidobacteriaceae.